AACUGGCGGCUGCUAYAAUGCAAGUCGAGCGAGUCCCUUCGGGGGCUAGCGGCGGACSGAUGAGUAACMCGUAGGCWACCUGCCCGUAASCUCGGGAUAACAUGGGGAAACUCMUGCUAAUACCGGAUAGGGUCUUCUCUCGCAUGAGAGGAGACGGAAAGGUGGCKCAAGCUACCRCUUACKGAUGGGCCUGCRGCGCAUUAKCUAKUUGGUGGGGUAACGGCCUACCAAGGCGACGAUGCSUAKCCSACCUGAGAGGGUGACCGGCCACACUGGGACUGAGACACGGCCCMSACUCCUACRGGAGGCRSCASUAKGGAAUUUUCCACAAUGGACGAAAGUCUGAUGGAGCAACGCCSCGUGAACGAUGAARGUCUUCGGAUUGUAAAGUUCUGUUGUCAGAGACGAACAAGUACCGUUCGAACAGGGCGGUACCUUGACGGUACCUGACGAGAAAGCCACGGCUAACUACGUGCCAGCAGCCGCGGUAAUACGUAGGUGGCAAGCGUUGUCCGGAAUUAUUGGGCGUAAAGCGCGCGCASGCGGCUAUGUAAGUCUGGUGUUAAA
Molecule: ribosomal RNA, 567 nt
Filed under: Brevibacillus sp.
Lineage: Bacteria; Bacillati; Bacillota; Bacilli; Caryophanales; Paenibacillaceae
Description: partial 16S ribosomal RNA
Source: RNAcentral